AACGAACGCUGGCGGCAUGCCUAACACAUGCAAGUCGAACGAGACCUUCGGGUCUAGCGGCGCACGGGUGCGUAACGCGUGGGAACCUGCCCUUAGGUUCGGAAUAACUCCCCGAAAGGGGUGCUAAUACCGGAUAAUGUCUUCGGACCAAAGAUUUAUCGCCUUUGGAUGGGCCCGCGUUGGAUUAGCUAGUUGGUAGGGUAAAAGCCUACCAAGGCGACGAUCCAUAGCUGGUCUGAGAGGAUGAUCAGCCACACUGGGACUGAGACACGGCCCAGACUCCUACGGGAGGCAGCAGUGGGGAAUAUUGGACAAUGGGCGAAAGCCUGAUCCAGCAAUGCCGCGUGAGUGAUGAAGGCCUUAGGGUUGUAAAGCUCUUUUACCCGGGAUGAUAAUGACAGUACCGGGAGAAUAAGCGCCGGCUAACUCCGUG
This 433-nucleotide ribosomal RNA is filed under the name uncultured bacterium. RNAcentral describes it as "partial 16S ribosomal RNA". It matches the Rfam family "Bacterial small subunit ribosomal RNA", at positions 29 to 507 of the family's 1533-position model. The record is from RNAcentral.